UGGGGUGUAGCUCAGUGGUCUCAGAGCAUUCGACUGCAGAUCGAGAGGUCCGUGGUUCAACUCAGCGUGACCCUU
This 75-nucleotide transfer RNA is filed under the name Dictyocaulus viviparus (bovine lungworm). It matches the Rfam family "tRNA". Rfam says of the family: Transfer RNA (tRNA) molecules are approximately 80 nucleotides in length. Lineage: Eukaryota; Metazoa; Nematoda; Chromadorea; Rhabditida; Metastrongylidae. The record is from Rfam by way of RNAcentral.